RNAcentral lists this ribosomal RNA (308 nucleotides) under uncultured bacterium. RNAcentral's name for it is "bacterial SSU rRNA". It matches the Rfam family "Bacterial small subunit ribosomal RNA", at positions 30 to 342 of the family's 1533-position model. The record is from RNAcentral.
CCUGAACGCUGGCGGCGUGGCUAAGACAUGCAAGUCGAACGGGUGUAGCAAUACACCAGUGGCGGACGGGUGAGUAAUGUAUCGCUAACGUGCCCUGGAAUCUGAGAUAGCCAAUCGAAAGGUUGGGUAAUACCAGAUGAAAUAUCCUUAUCGCAUGAUGAGGAUCUCAAAGGAGCAAUCCGGUCUGGGAGCGGGCGAUAUCGUAUCAGCUAGUUGGUGAGGUAACGGCUCACCAAGGCGACGACGCGUAGCCGGGCUGAGAGGUCGGCCGGCCACAUUGGGACUGAGACACUGCCCAGACUCCGUAC